CCCUUAGACGUUCUGGGCCGCACGCGCGCUACACUGACCAGUGCAACAAGCAUCCGUCCUUGGCCGACAGGCUCGGGCAAUCUUUGAACGCUGGUCGUGAUGGGGAUAGACUUUUGCAAUUUUUGGUCUUCAACGAGGAAUUCCUAGUAAACGCAAGUCAUCAACUUGCAUUGAUUACGUCCCUGCCCCUUGUACACACCGCCCGUCGCACCUACCGAUUGAAUGGUCCGGUGAAGCCUCCGGAUUGGCGCGCACCUCGGUGCCGCCGAGAAGUUGGCUAAACCUUACCAUUUAGAGGAAGGUGAAGUCGUANCA
RNAcentral lists this ribosomal RNA (315 nucleotides) under uncultured eukaryote. RNAcentral describes it as "partial 18S ribosomal RNA". It matches the Rfam family "Eukaryotic small subunit ribosomal RNA", at positions 1470 to 1796 of the family's 1831-position model. The record is from RNAcentral.